UAGGGAAUCUUCCGCAAUGGGCGAAAGCCUGCCGGAGCAACGCCGCGUGAGUGAUGAAGGUCUUCGGAUCGUAAAACUCUGUUAUUAGGGAAGAACAAAUGUGUAAGUAACUAUGCACGUCUUGACGGUACCUAAUCAGAAAGCCACGGCUAACUACGUGCCAGCAGCCGCGGUAAUACGUAGGUGGCAAGCGUUAUCCGGAAUUAUUGGGCGUAAAGCGCGCGUAGGCGGUUUUUUAAGUCUGAUGUGAAAGCCCACGGCUCAACCGUGGAGGGUCAUUGGAAACUUGAAAACUUGCGUGCAGAAGGGGAAAGUGGAAUUCCAUGUGUAGCGAUGAAAUGCGCAGAGAUAUGGAGGACCACCAGUGGCGAAGGCGACUUUCUGGUAUGUAACUGACGCUGAUGUGCGAAAGCGUGGGGAUCAAACAGG
This 429-nucleotide ribosomal RNA is filed under the name Actinomycetes bacterium. Its description in RNAcentral is "Actinobacteria bacterium partial 16S ribosomal RNA". It matches the Rfam family "Bacterial small subunit ribosomal RNA", at positions 355 to 776 of the family's 1533-position model. Lineage: Bacteria; Bacillati; Actinomycetota; Actinomycetes. The record is from RNAcentral.